CAGCAGCCGCGGGAAUACAGAGGGUGCGAGCGUUAAUCGGAUUUACUGGGCGUAAAGCGUGCGUAGGCGGCUUCUUAAGUCGGAUGUGAAAUCCCUGAGCUUAACUUAGGAAUUGCAUUCGAUACUGGGAAGCUAGAGUAUGGGAGAGGAUGGUAGAAUUCCAGGUGUAGCGGUGAAAUGCGUAGAGAUCUGGAGGAAUACCGAUGGCGAAGGCAGCCAUCUGGCCUAAUACUGACGCUGAGGUACGAAAGCAUGGGGAGCAAACAGGAUUAGAUACCCGGGUAGUCCCUGUCUCUUAUAU
This 301-nucleotide ribosomal RNA is filed under the name uncultured bacterium. RNAcentral's name for it is "partial 16S ribosomal RNA". It matches the Rfam family "Bacterial small subunit ribosomal RNA", at positions 509 to 809 of the family's 1533-position model. The record is from RNAcentral.